UUUUAGCCCCGGGAGGAGCGGCAUCCUUUGCUUUUUUUCUAAAGAAAAAGCAAAGAUAUAGCGGAUCACGGGACUUUGA
RNAcentral lists this small RNA (79 nucleotides) under Flavobacterium succinicans. Its description in RNAcentral is "Flavo-1 RNA". It matches the Rfam family "Flavo-1 RNA". The record is from RNAcentral. Lineage: Bacteria; Pseudomonadati; Bacteroidota; Flavobacteriia; Flavobacteriales; Flavobacteriaceae.